RNAcentral lists this long non-coding RNA (853 nucleotides) under Nicotiana tabacum (common tobacco). RNAcentral describes it as "long non-coding RNA (NTAB_LNC006031)". The record is from RNAcentral. Lineage: Eukaryota; Viridiplantae; Streptophyta; Magnoliopsida; Solanales; Solanaceae.
GAACAGUACAUGUGAUAACUGCAUCGGAAGCCACAGCCUCAGGCCUGGCUGGAAGAGCAUAACUGUCACGCCCCAAACCUGGAAGCGAGACAGGUACUCAAUGCCUCACCUAUCCUUGCGUACCAACUUGCGACUAAGGAACUCUGCACAUGUGAUUUCAUACUUUGGACAUGGGCCACAUUGCAAGACAACUGCGAAUGCUGACUAAAUAUCAAUAUAAAACUUGGCCGACAAGGCCGUCAUAUUUAUUACAGCUGACAAACCAACCAAAUAUACAUACAAGGCCUGAAAGCCCAACAUACUGCACUAACUGACAAGAUAUAUCUACAAGCCUCUACUAAUGGAUACACUGUGAUCGGAAUGGCCCUCCGACCUAUUCAUGACAUAUGUACAUAUAUAUAUACAAUAUAUACAUAAGGCUCUAGACCCGGAAACUCCGAAAGACAUAGAUCUUACCGAUCAAGCUGAACUCGGGCAACACUUAUUGAAGAGGCCUACUCAUCUGUCUGUCCGACCUGCACGCAUGAAAUGCAUCGCCCCCAGAAAAAGGGACGUCAGUACGAAAUAAUGUACUGAGUAUGUAAGGCAAUAUACUGAAAGCUGAAACUGAACUCAUAAUAUAAUAACUGCAAGUAGCUAGAAGUCAAAGAUAAUCUGAAGAUAUGCUUACCUGCUGAUACUGACUCAACUCUCUCAAUAUAGUAAGUAAAAUAGUUGUCCAACCCUAUAAGUCUCGGUAUACAUAUAUAUAUCUGCUCUGCCGUAGUAGGCUCGCUCAUAAGCGCUCGGCCAUACUAGGCUAUGUAUAUCGACCAACUGGGCUCGCUCAUAUGCGCUCGGCCACAGUAGGAUC